GUGGGGAAUAUUGGACAAUGGAGGCAACUCUGAUCCAGCCAUGCCGCGUGUGUGAAGAAGGCCUUUUGGUUGUAAAGCACUUUAAGCGAGGAGGAGGCUUACCUGGUUAAUACCUGGGAUAAGUGGACGUUACUCGCAGAAUAAGCACCGGCUAACUCUGUGCCAGCAGCCGCGGUAAUACAGAGGGUGCAAGCGUUAAUCGGAUUUACUGGGCGUAAAGCGCGCGUAGGUGGCCAAUUAAGUCAAAUGUGAAAUCCCCGAGCUUAACUUGGGAAUUGCAUUCGAUACUGGUUGGCUAGAGUAUGGGAGAGGAUGGUAGAAUUCCAGGUGUAGCGGUGAAAUGCGUAGAGAUCUGGAGGAAUACCGAUGGCGAAGGCAGCCAUCUGGCCUAAUACUGACACUGAGGUGCGAAAGCAUGGGGAGCAAACAGGAUUAGAAACCCCAGUAGUCC
Molecule: ribosomal RNA, 451 nt
Filed under: uncultured bacterium
Lineage: Bacteria
Description: partial 16S ribosomal RNA
Rfam family: Bacterial small subunit ribosomal RNA
Source: RNAcentral